UCGAGAAUCUUCCGCAAUGGGCGAAAGCCUGACGGAGCGACGCCGCGUGUAGGAUGAAGGCCCUCGGGUUGUAAACUACUGUCACGGGUUAUGAAUGUGCAUAUGUUAACAGCGUGUGUAUUGACGUAAGCCCGAAAGGAAGCACCGGCUAACUCUGUGCCAGCAGCCGCGGUAAUACAGAGGGUGCAAACGUUGUUCGGAAUUACUGGGCAUAAAGCGCGCGUAGGCGGCGACGUAAGUGUAGGGUGAAAUCCCACGGCUCACCCGUGUGAAUUGCCCCGCAUACUGCGUUGCUUGAGUGUGGUAGGGGAGAGCGGAACUCCUGGUGGAGCGGUGAAAUGCGUAGAUAUCAGGAGGAACACCGGUGGCGUAGGCGGCUCUCUGGUCCAUAACUGACGCUGAAGUGCGAAAGCUAGGGUAGCGAACGGGAUUAGAUACCCCGGUAGUCCCUGAGCGGGCUGGCAAGGCGCAU
Molecule: ribosomal RNA, 472 nt
Filed under: uncultured bacterium
Lineage: Bacteria
Description: bacterial SSU rRNA
Rfam family: Bacterial small subunit ribosomal RNA
Source: RNAcentral